RNAcentral lists this transfer RNA (76 nucleotides) under Candidatus Ghiorseimicrobium undicola. RNAcentral's name for it is "Candidatus Omnitrophica bacterium CG11_big_fil_rev_8_21_14_0_20_42_13 tRNA-Phe". It matches the Rfam family "tRNA". Rfam says of the family: Transfer RNA (tRNA) molecules are approximately 80 nucleotides in length. Lineage: Bacteria; Pseudomonadati; Candidatus Omnitrophota. The record is from RNAcentral.
GCCGAGGUAGCUCAAAUGGUAGAGCGAAGGACUGAAAAUCCUUGCGUAGUCGGUUCGAUCCCGACCCUCGGCACCA